Molecule: ribosomal RNA, 468 nt
Filed under: uncultured bacterium
Lineage: Bacteria
Description: partial 16S ribosomal RNA
Rfam family: Bacterial small subunit ribosomal RNA
Source: RNAcentral
GACGAACGCUGGCGGCGUGCUUAACACAUGCAAGUCGAACGGAAAGGCCCUGCUUUUGUGGGGUGCUCGAGUGGCGAACGGGUAAGUAACACGUAAGUAACCUGCCCUUGACUGUGGGAUAACUUCAUAAAACUGGGUCUAAUACCGGAUAGGAGCUCCUGCUGCAUGGUGGGGGUGGGUAAGUUUCGGCGGUUGGGGAUGGAUUCGCGGCUUAUCAGGUUGUUGGUUGGGUAGUGGCUUACCAAGGCUUUGACGGGUAGCCGGCCUGAGAGGGUGACCGGACACAUUGGGACUGAGAUACGACCCAGCCUAGUACGGGAGGGAGCAGUGGGGAAUAGUGUACAAUGGGCGGAAGGCUGAUGCAGUCACGCCGCGCGCGGUAUGUGGGGCUUGGGUUUGGAAUCCGCUUUCGCUUGAGACGAAGUGUUAGUGACGGUAACGGGUAAAUAAGCACCGGCUAACUACGUG